Molecule: ribosomal RNA, 1392 nt
Filed under: uncultured bacterium
Lineage: Bacteria
Description: 16S ribosomal RNA
Rfam family: Bacterial small subunit ribosomal RNA
Source: RNAcentral
GAGUUUCAUCCUGGCUCAGGAUGAACGCUAGCUACAGGCUUAACACAUGCAAGUCGAGGGGCAGCAUGACGAUAGCUUGCUAUUGUUGAUGGCGACCGGCGCACGGGUGAGUAACGCGUAUCCAACCUUCCCGUUGCUAGGGGAUAACCUUGCGAAAGUAAGACUAAUACCCUAUGAUGUUCUUCGCAGACAUCUAAAGAGAACCAAAGAUUUAUCGGCAACGGAUGGGGAUGCGUCUGAUUAGGUUGUUGGCGGGGUAACGGCCCACCAAGCCCACGAUCAGUAGGGGUUCUGAGAGGAAGGUCCCCCACAUUGGAACUGAGACACGGUCCAAACUCCUACGGGAGGCAGCAGUGAGGAAUAUUGGUCAAUGGACGGAAGUCUGAACCAGCCAAGUAGCGUGCAGGACGACGGCCCUAUGGGUUGUAAACUGCUUUUAUGUGGGAAUAAAGUGAGGGACGUGUCCCUUUUUGUAGGUACCACAUGAAUAAGGACCGGCUAAUUCCGUGCCAGCAGCCGCGGUAAUACGGAAGGUCCGGGCGUUAUCCGGAUUUAUUGGGUUUAAAGGGAGCGUAGGCCGUCUUUUAAGCGUGUUGUGAAAUACUGUCGCUNCACGACAGAGGUGCAGCGCGAACUGGGAGACUUGAGUGCGCGGAAUGCAGGCGGAAUUCGUCGUGUAGCGGUGAAAUGCUUAGAUAUGACGAAGAACUCCGAUUGCGAAGACAGCUUGCAGUAGGUGACUGACGGUGAAGGUCGAAGUGGCGGUAUUGAACAGGAUUAGAUACGUGGGUAGUCCGCACGGUAAACGAUGGAUGCUCGCUGUGUGCCCCUGGGUACGCGGCCAAGCGAAAGCGUUAAGCAUCCCACCUGGGGAGUACGCCGGCAACGGUGAAACUCAAAGGAAUUGACGGGGGCCCGCACAAGCGGAGGAACAUGUGGUUUAAUUCGAUGAUACGCGAGGAACCUUACCCGGGCUUGAAUUGCAGGAGAACGAUACAGAGAUGUUGAGGUCCUUCGGGACUCCUGUGAAGGUGCUGCAUGGUUGUCGUCAGCUCGUGCCGUGAGGUGUCGGCUUCAGUGCCAUAACGAGCGCAACCCCUCUCCGUAGUUGCCAUCAGGUGAUGCUGGGCACUCUGCGGACACUGCCGCCGUAAGGUGUGAGGAAGGUGGGGAUGACGUCAAAUCAGCACGGCCCUUACGUCCGGGGCUACACACGUGUUACAAUGGGUCAUACAGAGUGUUGUGCGUAUGCAAAUACGUACUAAUCAUUAAAAUGAUCCUCAGUUCGGAUUGGGGUCUGCAACCCGACCCCAUGAAGCUGGAUUCGCUAGUAAUCGCGCAUCAGCCAUGGCGCGGUGAAUACGUUCCCGGGGCUUGACACACCGCCCGUCA